This 253-nucleotide ribosomal RNA is filed under the name uncultured bacterium. RNAcentral's name for it is "partial 16S ribosomal RNA". It matches the Rfam family "Bacterial small subunit ribosomal RNA", at positions 524 to 776 of the family's 1533-position model. The record is from RNAcentral.
UACGUAGGGUCCGAGCGUUACUCGGAAUUACUGGGCGUAAAGCGUGCGCAGGCGGUUUUGUAAGCCUGAUGUGAAAGCCCCGGGCUUAACCUGGGAAUGGCAUUUGGGACUGCAAGGCUGGAGUACGGCAGAGGGAGGUGGAAUUCCAGGUGUAGCAGUGAAAUGCGUAGAUAUCUGGAGGAACACCGAUGGCGAAGGCAGCCUCCUGGGCUAGUACUGACGCUCAUGCACGAAAGCGUGGGGAGCAAACAGG